Molecule: ribosomal RNA, 402 nt
Filed under: uncultured bacterium
Lineage: Bacteria
Description: bacterial SSU rRNA
Rfam family: Bacterial small subunit ribosomal RNA
Source: RNAcentral
GGGCCCGCACAAGCGGUGGAGCAUGUGGUUUAAUUCGAUGAUACGCGAGGAACCUUACCAGGGCUUAAAUGUAGAUUGCAUUAGCUAGAGAUAGCUAUUUCUUCGGACUAUUUACAAGGUGCUGCAUGGUUGUCGUCAGCUCGUGCCGUGAGGUGUCAGGUUAAGUCCUAUAACGAGCGCAACCCCUGUUGUUAGUUGCCAGCGAGUAAUGUCGGGAACUCUAACAAGACUGCCGGUGCAAACCGCGAGGAAGGUGGGGAUGACGUCAAAUCAUCACGGCCCUUACGCCCUGGGCCACACACGUGCUACAAUGGCCGGUACAGAGAGCAGCCACUACGCAAGUAGGCGCGAAUCUUCAAAACCGGUCUCAGUUCGGAUCGGAGUCUGCAACUCGACUCCGUG